GAUGAACGCUGGCGGCGUGCCUAAUACAUGCAAGUCGAGCGAACGGACGAGAAGCUUGCUUCUCUGAUGUUAGCGGCGGACGGGUGAGUAACACGUGGAUAACCUACCUAUAAGACUGGGAUAACUUCGGGAAACCGGAGCUAAUACCGGAUAAUAUGUUGAACCGCAUGGUUCAAAAGUGAAAGCCGGUCUUGCUGUCACUUAUAGAUGGAUCCGCGCUGCAUUAGCUAGUUGGUAAGGUAACGGCUUACCAAGGCAACGAUGCAUAGCCGACCUGAGAGGGUGAUCGGCCACACUGGAACUGAGACACGGUCCAGACUCCUACGGGAGGCAGCAGUAGGGAAUCUUCCGCAAUGGGCGAAAGCCUGACGGAGCAACGCCGCGUGAGUGAAGAAGGUCUUCGGAUCGUAAAACUCUGUUAUUAGGGAAGAACAGAUGUGUAAGUAACUGUGCACAUCUUGACGGUACCUAAUCAGAAAGCCACGGCUAACUACGUG
Molecule: ribosomal RNA, 497 nt
Filed under: uncultured bacterium
Lineage: Bacteria
Description: partial 16S ribosomal RNA
Rfam family: Bacterial small subunit ribosomal RNA
Source: RNAcentral